GUAGGUGGCAUAGUAUGUCGAUAGUGAAAGCGUGUGGCUCAACCAUAUACACAUUAUCGAAACUGCUAAGCUAGAGGACGAGAGAGGUUAUUGGAAUUCCUAGUGUAGGAGUGAAAUCCGUAGAUAUUAGGAGGAACACCGAUGGCGUAGGCAGAUAACUGGCUCGUUCCUGACACUAAGGCACGAAAGCGUGGGGAGCGAACCGGAUUAGAUACCCGGGUAGUCCACGCCGUAAACGAUGGAUACUAGCUGUUGGAGGUAUCGACCCCUUCAGUAGCGAAGCUAACGCGUUAAGUAUCCCGCCUGUGGAGUACGGUCGCAAGACUAAAACAUAAAGGAAUUGACGGGGACCCGCACAAGCGGUGGAGCGUGUUGUUUAAUUCGAUGGUAAACGAAGAACCUUACCCAGGUUUGACAUCCUUGGAAUUUUGCCGAAAGGCGAGAGUGCUUUAUUGAGCCAAGUGACAGGUGUUGCAUGGCCGUCGUCAGCUCGUGUCGUGAGAUGUUUGGUUAAGUCCAUCAACGAGCGCAACCCUUAUAGUCUGUUGUAUUUUUCAGGCUAGACUGCCCCGGUAACGGGGAGGAAGGAGGGGAUGAUGUCAGGUCAGUAUUACCCUUACAUCUGGGGCUACAAACACGCUACAAUGGCCGGUACAAAGGGCAGCCAAGUCGCGAGACGGAGCAAAUCCCAUCAAAGCCGGUCCCAGUUCAGAUUGCAGGCUGAAACUCGCCUGCAUGAAGUCGGAAUCGCUAGUAACGGUAGGUCAGCUAUACUACCGUGAAUACGUUCCCGGGUCUUGUACACACCGCCCGUCAAACCAUGAAAGUCGGGGGUACCUGACGUGUGAGCUUCGUCUCGCCCUAAGGUAAACCAGAUGAUUGGGGUU
This 887-nucleotide ribosomal RNA is filed under the name uncultured Candidatus Saccharibacteria bacterium. RNAcentral's name for it is "bacterial SSU rRNA". It matches the Rfam family "Bacterial small subunit ribosomal RNA", at positions 571 to 1482 of the family's 1533-position model. Lineage: Bacteria; Candidatus Saccharimonadota. The record is from RNAcentral.